UCCAGACUCCUACGGGAGGCAGCAGUGGGGAAUAUUGCACAAUGGGGGAAACCCUGAUGCAGCGACGCCGCGUGAGUGAAGAAGUAUUUCGGUAUGUAAAGCUCUAUCAGCAGGGAAGAAAAUGACGGUACCUGACUAAGAAGCCCCGGCUAACUACGUGCCAGCAGCCGCGGUAAUACGUAGGGGGCAAGCGUUAUCCGGAUUUACUGGGUGUAAAGGGAGCGUAGACGGCGGAACAAGUCAGAAGUGAAAACCCGGGGCUCAACCCUGGGAGUGCUUUUGAAACUGUUUGGCUGGAGUGCAGGAGAGGUAAGCGGAAUUCCUAGUGUAGCGGUGAAAUGCGUAGAUAUUAGGAGGAACACCGGCGGCGAAGGCGGCCUGCUGGACCGUGACUGACGUUGAGGCUCGAGAGCGUGGGGAGCAAACAGGAUUAGAUACCCUUGUA
This 445-nucleotide ribosomal RNA is filed under the name uncultured bacterium. RNAcentral's name for it is "bacterial SSU rRNA". It matches the Rfam family "Bacterial small subunit ribosomal RNA", at positions 330 to 792 of the family's 1533-position model. The record is from RNAcentral.